This is a long non-coding RNA of Pezoporus flaviventris, 648 nucleotides long. RefSeq lists it as uncharacterized. The record is from RefSeq and is a predicted model, not a curated record. The transcript has 2 exons. NCBI's taxonomy places the organism in Eukaryota, Metazoa, Chordata, Aves, Psittaciformes, Psittacidae.
GUGAGGUCAUGCGGAAGCUGGUGCUUGGAGAUGUCUGCGUGGGACAGUACUGGAGGAAAAUGUGGAGUGAAGGAAGGCAAAUGUGGUGCAGGCCUGAAUGCUACCCAUGGUGACAGAGACUGAGGAGGGAAGGUUGGGAGACAAGUGCCAGAGAAGGCUGGAUCCUGAGGCCAGAGAAGGUGAGUGUUUCAUGACCACUAUUUGUAGGGACAGGGAUGGACAGGUCAAGAUAUCUGUUAAUGUGUCUUGUUGUGAGGUUUAGCUGGGAAAGAAGUGGUCAGAAGCUCAGCAGAGUACUGUUUGGAGACUCUAGACUGGAAAUAAUGUAAAAUCCAUUUGCCAAUGAGCUUAAAAGGGAAAGGAACCUGGAACUCUUCACUGGCAAAGCAAGUGAAAUUGAGCUGUUGUUCUUUCAGAGGGAGACAUAUUUAUAAUAUGAAGGAAAGAGCAGGAGGAAAGUGAGGGUGAAACGACAGUCAGUGAUUAGAGCCACUCUCACAGCUUGGAGCUGCUGAAAGAGGAAGGUUCCACUCCUCCACCCAUUGUGUCCCUUCUGUCCUUGGCCAGAUGCUGCUCUUUCCUCUGGCCCACUGGCUUUCAAUUCACUAUUGUAAAUUCAGCCCAGUAACACCCUACAGGAAAAAACCC